Molecule: non-coding RNA, 100 nt
Filed under: Pichia kudriavzevii
Lineage: Eukaryota; Fungi; Ascomycota; Pichiomycetes; Pichiales; Pichiaceae
Description: TPP sequence
Rfam family: TPP riboswitch aptamer (THI element)
About the family: Vitamin B(1) in its active form thiamin pyrophosphate (TPP) is an essential coenzyme that is synthesised by coupling of pyrimidine and thiazole moieties in bacteria. The previously detected thiamin-regulatory element, thi box was extended, resulting in a new, highly conserved RNA secondary structure, the THI element, which is widely distributed in eubacteria and also occurs in some archaea. Analysis of operon structures identified a large number of new candidate thiamin-regulated genes, mostly transporters, in various prokaryotic organisms.
Source: Rfam by way of RNAcentral
AUAUGCAUAAACGGGUGCUUUUCUUUGCACGGGAAGCUGAGAUUAUACCGUUUAACUCGAUCAAGUUAGUACUUGCGGGAGGAUUAUCAUAUAUGUUGUU